UGAAGUCCGCUGGCUGGGGCGUUUAGUUGUUAAUUAAAAUUUUACGGGAUCGAAGCCCGUCAGUCUG
Molecule: transfer RNA, 67 nt
Filed under: Cyrtodactylus sp. PKN-2019
Lineage: Eukaryota; Metazoa; Chordata; Lepidosauria; Squamata; Gekkonidae
Description: partial tRNA-Cys
Source: RNAcentral